Molecule: long non-coding RNA, 509 nt
Organism: Passer montanus (Eurasian tree sparrow)
Lineage: Eukaryota; Metazoa; Chordata; Aves; Passeriformes; Passeridae
Exons: 4
Source: RefSeq, a predicted model, not a curated record
AGAAAUCUGACCUUACAGUUGUUUCUUGUGGGGACAGUAGAAGCUUCUUUGAGCCAGAAAAAAGGAAGCAGGAAAGGGCACUGUACAUGUGUUCCCUCUCCUGGAGCCCUGAUGUGGCUGCUGCUGUUCCCUCUAAUGCAUAGCCAGAAAGGAUGAGAAGCCGUGCACAGAUUGCACAGAGCUAAUGAAGGUGUGGAGUGGGAGGAGAGAUGACAAGACCAUAUGGGCUUAUUUACUACUCACAGAGGAGUUCAAGCAUUUCUGUGCCUGCUCUAAGUAUUGUGGAAUGUUGCUAGCAAUUAUAGGUUCAUUGGUGCCCUUCUCUGAUUUUUGGAAAACAAAGGGCUGGAUGAGAAGAGCUGGUCAAAACAUGAGGAUUAUGACUAAGGACAGUCAGCAUGAUUGUACCAUAUUUUCAUUUCCCCUGUACAAAGGACAGAGAACUUUGUUCUGUGAUCUGUCUCUGCACAAAAUACUUAUAGCAUAUAGUAAAUUUGUUGAUUGGCAUA